RNAcentral lists this ribosomal RNA (253 nucleotides) under uncultured bacterium. Its description in RNAcentral is "partial 16S ribosomal RNA". It matches the Rfam family "Bacterial small subunit ribosomal RNA", at positions 524 to 776 of the family's 1533-position model. The record is from RNAcentral.
UACGUAGGGUGCGAGCGUUAAUCGGAAUUACUGGGCGUAAAGCGUGCGCAGGCGGUUUUGUAAGCCAGAUGUGAAAUCCCCGGGCUCAACCUGGGAACUGCGUUUGUGACUGUAUGACUAGAGUACGGUAGAGAGGGGUGGAAUUCCUGGUGUAGCAGUGAAAUGCGUAGAUAUCAGGAGGAACAUCGAUGGCGAAGGCAGCCCCUUGGACCUGUACUGACGCUCAUGCACGAAAGCGUGGGGAGCAAACAGG